AUAUCAAUAAGCGGAGGAAAAGAAACCAACAGGGAUUGCCCUAGUAACGGCGAGUGAAGCGGCAAUAGCUCAAAUUUGAAAUCUGGCACCUUUGGGUGUCCGAGUUGUAAUUUGUAGAGAAGGUUUCGGUAUUGCUACUGAUCUAAGUCCCUUGGAACAGGGUGUCAUAGAGGGUGAGAGUCCCGUAUGUGAUUAGUUGUCUUUGCCAUGUGAAACUCCUUCGACGAGUCGAGUUGUUUGGGAAUGCAGCUCUAAUUGGGAGGUAAAUUUCUUCUAAAGCUAAAUACUGGCAGAACGACUGCAAGCGCACAAGUAGAGUGAUCGAAAGAUGAAAAGCACUUUGGAAAGAGAGUUAAACAGUACGUGAAAUUGUUGAAAGGGAAGCGCUUGCAACCAGACUUGCGCGCUGCUGAUCAUCCAAGGUUCUCCCUGGUGCACUCAGUAUCGGUCAGGCCAGCAUCAGUUCAGGUGGUUGGAUAAAGACCUCAGGAAUGUAGCUUCUCUCGGGGAGUGUUAUAGCCCUUUGUGCAAUGCAGCCUGCCUGGACCGAGGACCGCGCUUCGGCUAGGAUGCUGGCGUAAUGGUUGUAAGCGA
This 594-nucleotide ribosomal RNA is filed under the name uncultured fungus. Its description in RNAcentral is "eukaryotic LSU rRNA". It matches the Rfam family "Eukaryotic large subunit ribosomal RNA", at positions 40 to 647 of the family's 3401-position model. Lineage: Eukaryota; Fungi. The record is from RNAcentral.